AAUGAACGCUGGCGGCAGGCUUAACACAUGCAAGUCGAGCGAGCGGCGGACGGGGGUGUAAUGUCUGGGAAAAAGCUUGCUGGAGGGGGAUAACUACUGGAAAAGGUAGCUAAUAAUGCACACCCUCAGAUGGGCCCAGAUGGGAUUAGCUAGUUGGUGGGGUAAUGGAUCACCUAGGCGACGAUCCCUAGCUGGUCUGAGAGGAAGACCAGCCACACUGGAACUGAGCCGCGGUCCCGCCUCCUACGUGAGGCAGGAGUGUGGAAUAUUGCACAAUGGGCGCAAGCCUGAUGCAGCCAUGCCGCGUGGGUGAAGAAGGCCUUCGGGUUGGAAAGCUCUUUCAGCUAGGAGGCGUUACUCGCAGAAGAAGCACCGGCUAACUCCGUGCCAGCAGCCGCGGUAAUAC
Molecule: ribosomal RNA, 406 nt
Filed under: uncultured bacterium
Lineage: Bacteria
Description: partial 16S ribosomal RNA
Rfam family: Bacterial small subunit ribosomal RNA
Source: RNAcentral